AAAAUAAUCACUGUUCCCUGAAGAGUCUUUGCAGCCAAGUCUCCGUCCAGCACACAUCUUUUUUUAGCCCUUCUAGAAACUUCUGAAAAUAGUAGCUUAUCCUUGGGGGGAAAAAAAUCAGACCUCUGUCAAUCAGUGAGAUGCUGGUGCAUUUCAUUUAAAUGGCCCACUCCCUCCCCCAACGUCCCCUGGUUAUAAAUCAUCUUUGACCAGAAUGUAGCCAUUUCUUGGCUCUUUAAUCCAUAAAACCUAAACCCUGAAAUCCCCUUGGGGAGUGGAGGAGGCUGUGGGCUGAACUCCGAGGACACUUUUGUGGGGGUGGAGGAGAUAGCAACCAAGUCAUGCAUGAGGUCAGCUUUCUGCCUCAUAACCAGCAAGCCUCUCAAUGCCACCCUCCCUCCUAGACCCCAAGGUUUGCUCCAAACCACCUCUGGAUAUUUGUCCCCACGUAGAGAAAGAGAAGAGACUCUCAAGUGGCACUUUUGCAACUUGUCCCUUAAAAAAAAAAAAAAAAUCUGAAACAGCAAAAUAGAAAUCUCUCUUGUCCCCUGGCCUUCCAACAAGUCUGUCAAAAGAAUACCACAGCAGCACCAGCAGAAACGCACUUAGCACCAGCAAAAUUUUAAGUGAAGCACCAGAGACACAAAAAUCCCGUUUCUCUUGACGUGACAGUGGGAUCUAGCAAUCGACCUAGGUAAGUACAGAGGGAGAGGCUAGGACAAGUCAAGAAAUGGAGGCACCCCAGACUGCGCCUACACAAUUGGCCCCGAGUCCUCACCUUUUUUUUUUUUUUUUUCCUAUCAUGCCUUUUGCACUGUUACCUCUUAUUCCACCAGCAUCUAUCUCCAGGCAGUUGGCCGAUGCUAGGGCUAAUUCCCACCAGUCUUUGCAAACAGUUUCUAAGUACACAGCAGGCCUCUCUCUUCUGGCGCCCCAGACAUUACAGAAUAUCAAAGUUCACAUCGCAAGGUGCAGAAAAGGAAGGCAACCACGUCCUCGACAAGGCAUGCACUGAUACGUAAUAUUCAUAUUUUUGUUAUAUAUAGAGAGCUGUAUGUAAAUAGCAUUGGGGUGUGUGUUUCUGCAGCUGGAUUUCCAAAGGGCUUCCCCAGUCCCAUUCUGUGUUUCUACGAUCGCUCCAGGCGCUGUCUUUACUCUCCACUUCCUUCUCGAAGUGCCAACCGCGGCCUUUCAAGCUCUGGGCUCCCCCUCUGGAAAACGGGAACCAGCUUUCUCCAAGGACACAGGGUUUUCACCAACCUGCAGAAAUAAAGAUUGGUAU
Molecule: long non-coding RNA, 1282 nt
Filed under: Macaca fascicularis (crab-eating macaque)
Lineage: Eukaryota; Metazoa; Chordata; Mammalia; Primates; Cercopithecidae
Description: lncRNA (ENSMFAG00000057127.1)
Source: RNAcentral